This 450-nucleotide ribosomal RNA is filed under the name uncultured bacterium. RNAcentral's name for it is "bacterial SSU rRNA". It matches the Rfam family "Bacterial small subunit ribosomal RNA", at positions 354 to 796 of the family's 1533-position model. The record is from RNAcentral.
GUGGGGAAUUUUGGACAAUGGGCGCAAGCCUGAUCCAGCCAUGCCGCGUGCAGGAUGAAGGCCUUCGGGUUGUAAACUGCUUUUGUACGGAACGAAAAAGCUCUCUCUAAUACAGGGGGUGAAUGACGGUACCGUAAGAAUAAGCACCGGCUAACUACGUGCCAGCAGCCGCGGUAAUACGUAGGGUGCAAGCGUUAAUCGGAAUUACUGGGCGUAAAGCGUGCGCAGGCGGUUAUGUAAGACAGAGGUGAAAUCCCCGGGCUCAACCUGGGAACUGCCUUUGUGACUGCAUAGCUGGAGUGCGGCAGAGGGGGAUGGAAUUCCGCGUGUAGUAGUGAAAUGCGUAGAUAUGCGGAGGAACACCGAUGGCGAAGGCAAUCCCCUGGGCCUGCACUGACGCUCAUGCACGAAAGCGUGGGGAGCAAACAGGAUUAGAAACCCUAGUAGUCC